RNAcentral lists this small RNA (1145 nucleotides) under Pyricularia oryzae. RNAcentral's name for it is "Magnaporthe oryzae sRNA M_BR32_EuGene_00136901". Lineage: Eukaryota; Fungi; Ascomycota; Sordariomycetes; Magnaporthales; Pyriculariaceae. The record is from RNAcentral.
UAAUUUCCAAAUAUUAGUAUUAUAUAUUUUAUAAAAUCCCGUUUUUGCUAAAUUAAAAUAUAACCUGGGAAUUAUAUUAAUUAAUUAUUUCGGUAUAAAUCGAUUUGUUUUUUUUCGUAUUUAUACGGGUUACUGGUUUUUUUUAUAUUAUAUAUAUUUAAAAUUACGUUUUUUUUAUCGUUGAAAUUUUCUUUUAUACCAUUAUUUAAUUUUUCGGUUAAUAAUUAAUUUAUUAUUUUAAUACGGUGGAUUUAUCUUAAUAAUUCCGCGUUUAAAUUUCCUAAAACGUCCGAAUUUAUAAAUUCGGGUAAUUUGGCGUUUUAUCGGUAUAAAUUAAUUGGUUGUUUUAUUUUAAUAAAUAUUUGAUUUUUUACCGUUAAAAUUUAAAUAUUUCGGAAUUUUUAUAAAUAUUGACCUGCGUCGUUUGUAAAAAUUAUUAUAAAUUAUAUAAUUAUCGUUAUAAUAAAUAGUCCAAUUUAUUAUAUAAUAUUAAUUAGGUUAUAUCUAAUUAUAAUUGGUGGUAUUAAAUUUUUGUAAUUUUCCGGAUUUACCCCUAAAAUUAAUAAUAAAUCCAGGGGUAUUAUUAUAUAUUUCGGGAUAAUUUCGCGCGAUAUAUUCCGGUUUAUUACAUUUAAAAUAUUUGCCAUUUUUGGGGUUUUUGCGAGAUUAUUAAUAUUAAAUUGCGUUUAAAUUUAUAGGUCCGUUAUAUAUAUUAUACGCGGUAUUAUAUUAGCGAAACGGUUUGGGGUAUUAAUAUUUGCGUUUUAUAUUAAUUUGUCGCAAAAUUGGACUUUAUACGCUGCGUUUUUCGCGUCGUUCCAAUUUUCGUUCGUAUAAUUAAUUAUCGAUUUUAACCGCUAAUUCCACAUAUUUUAUUAAUGUAUUGGGUCGUUUUUUUUUAACCAAUUUGUUUUUUAUUUUUUUUAAAUUCCGUAUAAAAAUAUAUUAUUAAAAUCUUUUUAUACUAUAAUAAUUUGGUUGUAAUUUGUCGAAAUUUACUAAUAUAUUUAAAUACCGAUUUGGUUUGGGUAAAACGUAUUAGUUUACGUUUAACCGUACGUUUUUCGUUUAAAUUACGGAAUAUUUUUUUAAAAUAUUUUUCGAAAUUGUCGUAAUUGUCGAAAAUGCGGUUGGUUUUAAUUUUA